UACGGCCACAUCACGUUAAAGCACCGAUUCCCGUACAAUCAUCGAAGUCAAGCAAAGUCGAGCCUGGUCAGUACCUAGAUAGAUGAUCCCUUGGGAAUACCAGGUGCUGUAA
Non-coding RNA from Acanthosepion pharaonis, 112 nucleotides. The record is from the annotation of a GenBank genome assembly. Lineage: Eukaryota; Metazoa; Mollusca; Cephalopoda; Sepiida; Sepiidae.